UCCGACCCUGGGGGCUGUCACCAGAAAGAUGAGCCCCAAAAAUGUCUGGUUUUAAAAAUCAAUAGGGAUUAAGAUCAGGAGAAUCAUAGAAUUACAGGGAAUGGAGACCCAACUCUUAAAGGGGUUGCAAGAAAACCCACUCACCCUGAGAUCCUGGGCAAAAGCAACAGAUUGAAAGUUGCCUAGACCCUAAGGAGACAAGAUGCAAGGACAGGUGAGGACCCUGAGCCCUGCCCUCCCUGCAGAGCGGCUAAGCUGCAACAAGACCAGAUAAGUGCCCCGGCCACACCCUUUCUGCACAGCACCCAAGCUGUAAUGGGCCUGGGUAGGCGUCCUGAGCCCCACUCAUCCAGCAGAGACAGAGUGAGCAGUAACCAGGCCAGGGAGAGCUCCAGGUCCUGCCCUCCUUGCAGUAACCUACCCACAAGAGGGCUGGGUCAGACUUCUGAGGCCCGUUCACCCCACAGAGGGACCGAGCAGCAACUGAGAAGGAGAGAGAGAAGGCACGCACAAGCAGGGGGAGCUGCCAGCAGAGGGAGAGGGAGAGAGGAG
Molecule: long non-coding RNA, 552 nt
Organism: Zalophus californianus (California sea lion)
Lineage: Eukaryota; Metazoa; Chordata; Mammalia; Carnivora; Otariidae
Exons: 3
Source: RefSeq, a predicted model, not a curated record